GAAUUUGUCGAAAUUGAGUUUUCUCCUCUUCCUUCCACUCUUUUGUGCUUGUUCUGCUUCCGAAGCAGCCAAUUCUCGACUGAAUAGGCCACUUUCGGAAUUAUUUCAAGUGGACCUCUUCCUUCCUCUAUUCAUCAUGCACUCUUCUACUUCUGCCCCCAUUUUCGCUCAAUUGUCAACGAUUUGAUCAUCAGAAAAAUAAUUUUUCGCAA
Non-coding RNA from Caenorhabditis elegans, 212 nucleotides. The record is from Ensembl. NCBI's taxonomy places the organism in Eukaryota, Metazoa, Nematoda, Chromadorea, Rhabditida, Rhabditidae.